GCCGUCUGUUCGGGCAAAAGAAGCGGGAGCGAGUAUUCGUUUACCCGUGCCUGCCAUUUAUAGACCCCGCCCUCCCACCGCUCCUUGCGCCGCCCCCCUCCGUUCCGUCCCCCUCCCCUCCUUCUCUCUCCUCCAUCGGAGCUCGAGAAGAGAGGAAUAGAGGAAAGAAUAAAUACUAGAAGAAAACCCUAGACCUCUUUCUUUCUCUCUUAUCGAUCUCGAAUUCCAGGACCUGGGGAAAGUGCUGCUUUUAUUUUGAAAUAUGGCGGUAGCUCUCCAGUUGGGACCUCGAGCUCACUGCUCUGAAGUCGCGAGGGAUUCUUGGAGCUCUCUUGCUUUCUCGUCGAGCUUUCCAAGUAAACGUGGCUUCGAGUCAUCUGUGAGGUUAAUUUGUAGAAAGAGAGAGAGGAGCUGUGGGGGGAGGGGAGGUUUGAAGGUAUGUUGCGAGAAAGGAGCAUCUGCUAUUGUGGAGAAGCAUGAGGUGGUGAGGGAGGAUGCUGAUGGAAAUGCUGCACAGCUGAGCAUCGUGAUGAAGUUUGGAGGGUCAUCGGUGGCGUCGGCUGACAGGAUGAGGGAGGUUGCUGACCUCAUUCUUAGCUUUCCUGAAGAAAGGCCAGUGAUUGUUCUAUCUGCAAUGGGGAAGACAACAAACAACCUUCUGCUGGCUGGGGAAAAAGCUGUCUGCUGUGGGGUGAGCAAUGUGUCUGACCUUAAAGAGUUAAGCUUUGUAAAGGAGUUGCAUCUUAAGACAGUUGAUGAACUUGGAAUUGAUAGGUCUGUCAUUUCUGGUCUGUUGGAUGAAUUGGAGCAACUUUUGAAAGGAAUUGCCAUGAUGAAAGAACUAACACCUCGUACAACGGACUAUCUAGUUUCAUUUGGAGAAUGCAUGUCUACGAGAAUCUUUGCAGCACAUUUGAACAAAAUUGGUACUAAAGCACAGCAGUAUGAUGCAUUUGACAUUGGUUUUAUAACAACGGAUGAAUUUACAAAUGCGGAGAUCUUGGAGGCAACUUAUCCUGCCAUUGCAAAGAGAUUACAUGGAGAUUGGAUUAAUGAUCCUGCAAUACCUAUUGUGACUGGCUUUCUUGGAAAGGGUUGGAAAUCCUGUGCUGUUACUACUUUAGGCAGGGGUGGUAGUGACUUGACAGCUACUACCAUUGGUAAAGCCUUGGGAUUACGAGAAAUUCAGGUUUGGAAGGAUGUUGAUGGUGUUUUGACAUGUGAUCCUAAUAUAUAUCCAAAUGCAAAGCCUGUACCACAUUUAACAUUUGAAGAAGCAGCUGAACUUGCCUAUUUUGGUGCACAGGUUUUGCAUCCCCAAUCAAUGCGACCUGCCAGAGAAAGUGAUAUACCAGUUAGGGUCAAGAAUUCAUACAACCCUCAAGCUCCGGGUACCCUCAUCACUAAAGCAAGGGAUCUUAGCGAGACUAUACUGACCAGCAUAGUUUUGAAAUCGAAUAUCACAAUGUUGGAUAUAGUGAGCACUCGAAUGCUAGGCCAAUAUGGUUUUCUAGCAAAGGUUUUUUCUAUAUUUGAAGACUUGGGUAUCUCUGUUGAUUGUGUGGCUACGAGUGAAGUCAGUAUUUCCUUGACAUUGGAUCCUUCUAAACUUUGGAGCAGAGAACUAAUACAGCAGAAACAGAAUUAUCGAGCAGCUUGUGAGGGACAGCAAUUUGCUUUCUAUUUGUUUUCUGGUUGUUCUUAUCAUCUAGUCUAUCCAAAACAAUCAAAUGGCAGGAGCUUGAUCAUGUGGUUGAAGAGCUUGAGAAGAUUGCAGUCGUUCAUCUCCUUCAGCACAGAUCAAUAAUUUCCCUCAUUGGAAAUGUGCAACGGUCUUCUUUGAUACUAGAAAAGGCAUUUAAUGUACUCCGGAAGAAUAAAGUCAAUGUCCAGAUGAUUUCUCAGGGGGCAUCUAAGGUGAACAUUUCCUUGGUAGUUCAUGACAGUGAAGCAAAGCAGUGUGUUAGAGCUCUUCAUUCCGCAUUCUUCGAGAAUGGUUUCCUGUCAGAAGUGGAUGAAACAGAUCUUUUCCAGAAUGGCUCUGCAACUCUGCCUUCUGCACGCUGAGGAUACCCACACCCAUACCACUUAGAUGUAUCACUGCCCUGCCUCUAAUAUGUAGUUGUAGGUGUAAUGGUUAGACUCUUCCUUUUUCCCUCACCUACAGGUUCUUCCUUGCUGCUAAUCCAUGCUUUGAUAGUCGAAAUGAUGGUUUCGUGUUAUAAUUAGCUAUAAUUAGCGGGGAAUAACUGUUUUCUGAUUAAUAAAUUAAGUGCAUGAAUUCUUCUCUCUCUCA
Non-coding RNA from Elaeis guineensis (African oil palm), 2296 nucleotides. The record is from RefSeq and is a predicted model, not a curated record. NCBI's taxonomy places the organism in Eukaryota, Viridiplantae, Streptophyta, Magnoliopsida, Arecales, Arecaceae.